Long non-coding RNA from Gopherus evgoodei (Goodes thornscrub tortoise), 120 nucleotides. RefSeq lists it as uncharacterized. NCBI's taxonomy places the organism in Eukaryota, Metazoa, Chordata, Testudines, Testudinidae. The record is from RefSeq and is a predicted model, not a curated record. The transcript has 3 exons.
GGUAGAUUCUUGUGACACCUCAUGCACCCUAGGGGAUGCACCGAUGGAUUGUGCCUCCUUUGUAGCCAGUUCCAUGUAGACAGCAAUAUCAAUGGCCUUCUGUAAGGGAGACAAGGGGCU